Xiphophorus maculatus (southern platyfish) is the source of this 1325-nucleotide long non-coding RNA. RefSeq lists it as uncharacterized. NCBI's taxonomy places the organism in Eukaryota, Metazoa, Chordata, Actinopteri, Cyprinodontiformes, Poeciliidae. The transcript is spliced from 3 exons. The record is from RefSeq and is a predicted model, not a curated record.
UGCAAGCAGCCAGGCAGCAGCUCGACGCCCUGCCCAAACUCAUUUCAUAUCUGCCCAUGGAAAGGAGAAGGGAUUUUCCCCUUCAGCCUGGCUUCCUCAUACCUCAACUGCAACCUCAGUGUCUGACAAACAGAGGAGGUCGGUGCAGAAACAAAAGCAGAAGGUGUCAGAGUGCACGCCUGGGGACAUGAAAGGCCGAACCAGUGCAGAGUGUGGAUCUCCAUCAACUCUCUUUCCUCAAGAAAAAGAUGUGAAACCACAUUCUGAACUGAGAUGUCAACAAAGAAGGAGUGGAAGAUUUUCAAAAAGGAAAUCCUCCACGGCGUCCCGCAGAGCGGCGGCUCUGCUCAGGAGAGACGACUGUUUUCUGAUUCGUUAAGGUUUGUAUCCACAGAGGAGGAUUCAAGCCGUCUUCUCUGAUACACAAACAUUACAUUCAUAGUUCUAUGUCUUUGUACUUGUUACUUUGUCUAUUUUGACAUUUAAGCUGUUUUUAUUUUGGAUAUAAAUGUUGUAUAUACAUUAAACCAGACUAGCUAGAAUUAGUAAAAUACUAAGAAUAAUGUUUUAAAGUCAAACUAGUAGCUUUCUUCAGAGUUUGAUACAGUUACAAUCUAAACUGCAUGACUUUAAACUUACAUUUUCUUCUCACCAGAGUUUGCUGGGGUUUGGUCCCAUUCCUCUCUACAACUUACCCAGUUUAACUGGUUAAACUCCUAAAUCACAUAAAUCUCCUCUGGGCAGGGUUACCAUGUUUACCCAGAUAAAGUAAUCAGCUACUGAUUACUGAUUGAUCCUUUAUAGGUGACCUAACAUGCAAAAUGCAAUGUUUAUUUCUUGUUUCACAACUGGUGAUUGAAUGAUGUCCCCAAUUGUCACUUUGUUUCUGACAUGAAGUAUUCAAAUAAACUCUAACGUUAGCUUUAAUAUUCGCUUCUUACACAUUUUUAUCCUUCUAUUUGGGUCUCUGCUGCUUCUAGAAAUAAUCCAACCCUUUAAAAAACACCCAGUUUUUUUUUUCUUUUGGUGUUUGGAAGAAAAACUGUCUAAAAAACCUCCUGUAUUACGACCAAUAUUAUGGCAGUUACCUAGCAACCCCAGCUGAGCCACCCCAUCACCUAGCAACCGAGGCAGAGUUCCAGCACGUUAAGUCGGCUGCUGUUCUUUCUUCAUAAAACGUAAACAAAAUGAGCGGCGUUAGAUUUUAGCAGUUGUUGGAUUUCGGUUUGGUUUUUACCAAAAACCAUGAGACAUUUCUCUAAAUCAGGGGCGUCCAGACUUUUUGUCACAUGGACCAAAAUCAUAUAUAUUCUUCCUUCCCAACA